GCCUUCGUAGCAAAACGGUAAUGCUGGGGACCUAAGUUCCCUCAUAAGGAGUUCAAUUCUUCUCUAAGGCU
Molecule: transfer RNA, 71 nt
Filed under: Holothuria forskali
Lineage: Eukaryota; Metazoa; Echinodermata; Holothuroidea; Aspidochirotida; Holothuriidae
Description: tRNA-Leu
Rfam family: tRNA
About the family: Transfer RNA (tRNA) molecules are approximately 80 nucleotides in length. Their secondary structure includes four short double-helical elements and three loops (D, anti-codon, and T loops). Further hydrogen bonds mediate the characteristic L-shaped molecular structure. tRNAs have two regions of fundamental functional importance: the anti-codon, which is responsible for specific mRNA codon recognition, and the 3' end, to which the tRNAs corresponding amino acid is attached (by aminoacyl-tRNA synthetases). tRNAs cope with the degeneracy of the genetic code in two manners: having more than one tRNA (with a specific anti-codon) for a particular amino acid; and 'wobble' base-pairing, i.e. permitting non-standard base-pairing at the 3rd anti-codon position.
Source: RNAcentral